This 444-nucleotide ribosomal RNA is filed under the name uncultured bacterium. Its description in RNAcentral is "bacterial SSU rRNA". It matches the Rfam family "Bacterial small subunit ribosomal RNA", at positions 29 to 455 of the family's 1533-position model. The record is from RNAcentral.
AACGAACGCUGGCGGCGUGCCUAACACAUGCAAGUCGAGCGGGAAAGUUCCCUUCGGGGAGCGAGUACAGCGGCGAACGGGUGAGUAACACGUAGGUAACCUACCCUGGAGACCGGGAUAACCUGCCGAAAGGUGGGCUAAUACCGGAUAAGACCACGAGGGCUGCGGCCCUUGGGGAAAAAGAUGGCCUCUGCUUGCAAGCUAUCACUCUGGGAUGGGCCUGCGCGCCAUUAGCAGUUGGUGAGGUAACGGCUCACCAAGGCUGAGAUGGCUAGCUGGUCUGAGAGGACGACCAGCCACACUGGGACUGAGACACGGCCCAGACUCCUACGGGAGGCAGCAGUGGGGAAUAUUGGACAAUGGGCGAAAGCCUGAUCCAGCGAUGCCGCGUGUGUGAAGAAGGCCUGCGGGUUGUAAAGCACUUUCAGUAGGGAAGAAAGACGA